RNAcentral lists this ribosomal RNA (442 nucleotides) under uncultured bacterium. RNAcentral describes it as "SSU rRNA". It matches the Rfam family "Bacterial small subunit ribosomal RNA", at positions 26 to 518 of the family's 1533-position model. The record is from RNAcentral.
AGAACGAACGCUGGCGGCAGGCCUAACACAUGCAAGUCGAGCGCUCCAGCAAUGGAGAGCGGCAGACGGGUGAGUAACACGUGGGAACCUUCCCUAUGGUUCGGAAUAGCUCAGGGAAACUUGAGGUAAUACCGAAUAAGCCCUUCGGGGGAAAGAUUUAUCGCCAUUGGAUGGGCCCGCGUAGGAUUAGCUAGUUGGUGAGGUAACGGCUCACCAAGGCGACGAUCCUUAGCUGGUCUGAGAGGAUGAUCAGCCACACUGGGACUGAGACACGGCCCAGACUCCUACGGGAGGCAGCAGUGGGAAUAUUGGACAAUGGGCGCAAGCCUGAUCCAGCCAUGCCGCGUGAGUGACGAAGGUCUUCGGAUUGUAAAGCUCUUUUGGCGGGACGAUAAUGACGGUACCGCAGAAUAAGCCCGGCUAACUUCGUGCCAGCAGCCGC